This 548-nucleotide ribosomal RNA is filed under the name uncultured bacterium. RNAcentral describes it as "bacterial SSU rRNA". It matches the Rfam family "Bacterial small subunit ribosomal RNA", at positions 355 to 896 of the family's 1533-position model. The record is from RNAcentral.
UGGGGAAUUUUGGACAAUGGGCGCAAGCCUGAUCCAGCAAUGCCGCGUGCAGGAAGAAGGCCUUCGGGUUGUAAACUGCUUUUGUCAGGGAAGAAAUCUUCUGGGCUAAUACCCCGGGAGGAUGACGGUACCUGAAGAAUAAGCACCGGCUAACUACGUGCCAGCAGCCGCGGUAAUACGUAGGGUGCGAGCGUUAAUCGGAAUUACUGGGCGUAAAGCGUGCGCAGGCGGCUUUGCAAGACAGAUGUGAAAUCCCCGGGCUCAACCUGGGAGCUGCAUUUGUGACUGCAAGGCUAGAGUACGGCAGAGGGGGAUGGAAUUCCGCGUGUAGCAGUGAAAUGCGUAGAUAUGCGGAGGAACACCAAUGGCGAAGGCAAUCCCCUGGGCCUGUACUGACGCUCAUGCACGAAAGCGUGGGGAGCAAACAGGAUUAGAUACCCUGGUAGUCCACGCCCUAAACGAUGUCAACUGGUUGUUGGACGGCUUGCUGUUCAGUAACGAAGCUAACGCGUGAAGUUGACCGCCUGGGGAGUACGGCCGCAAGGUUG